CAGCCGCCACGGGAAUACGAAGGGGGCUAGCGUUGCUCGGAAUUACUGGGCGUAAAGGGCGCGUAGGCGGACAGUUCAGUCGGGGGUGAAAGCCCGGGGCUCAACCUCGGAAUUGCCUUCGAUACUGGCUGUCUUGAGUAUGAGAGAGGUGUGUGGAACUCCGAGUGUAGAGGUGAAAUUCGUAGAUAUUCGGAAGAACACCAGUGGCGAAGGCGACACACUGGCUCAUUACUGACGCUGAGGCGCGAAAGCGUGGGGAGCAAACAGGAUUAGAUACCCCAGUAGUCCCUGUCUCUUAUAC
Molecule: ribosomal RNA, 301 nt
Filed under: uncultured bacterium
Lineage: Bacteria
Description: partial 16S ribosomal RNA
Rfam family: Bacterial small subunit ribosomal RNA
Source: RNAcentral